AGCGAACGCUGGCGGCAGGCUUAACACAUGCAAGUCGAGCGGACGUAGCAAUACGUUAGCGGCAGACGGGUGAGUAACACGUGGGAACGUGCCCUUUGGUUCGGGAUAACCCAGGGAAACCUGGGCUAAUACCGGAUAAGCCCUUACGGGGAAAGAUUUAUCGCCAAAGGAUCGGCCCGCGUCUGAUUAGCUAGUUGGUGGGGUAACGGCCCACCAAGGCUACGAUCAGUAGCUAGUCUGAGAGGAUGAUCAGCCACACUGGGACUGAGACACGGCCCAGACUCCUACGGGAGGCAGCAGUGGGGAAUAUUGGACAAUGGGGAAACCCGUGAUCCAGCCAUGCCGCGUGAGUGAUGAAGGCCUUAGGGUUGUAAAGCUCUUUCGGCGGGAAGAUAAUGACGGUACCCGCAUAAGAAGCCCCGGCUAACUUCGUGCCAGCAGCCGCAGUAAC
This 451-nucleotide ribosomal RNA is filed under the name uncultured bacterium. Its description in RNAcentral is "bacterial SSU rRNA". It matches the Rfam family "Bacterial small subunit ribosomal RNA", at positions 29 to 524 of the family's 1533-position model. The record is from RNAcentral.